CAGGAGCUAAGAGAUUAGGGAAGAACACAACAAACCAGCCGGCCUGGGGAAGCCACUCCACAGGCCUUGCAGAGGCUGGAGGUCCGUCAGCUGCUCUGCUCCAGCCCCGGCCCUCUCCUCACCCCAGGCCCCAUCGCUGCGUCCAGUUUGGAGAUGGGAGCAGGCCUGAGAACUGGAAGUAAAAAUGACAAAAUCUGCUCCUUGAAAGCUGUCACCAUGGAUAGGAAGAAUUCUGUUUUGGUCACAUGUAAUGGACCAUGACACAAAGAAAAAGGUGCCACAUGUCCUGAUGCUGGCGCUGGUUUGGGGCCACCAGGAGAAGAGCGGAAGUCUCGUGCCCAACCCCCCGCCCUCCAAUCACUGAGACAACACCAGCAGCCACUUACCUGGAGAUGCGCUGUUAGAGGAGAGAAAAUGAAAGCCACGCUCUGUGCCGUCGGUUUCUGUUCCAGCUGAUGGAAAUCCCUGACUGAUGAAUGAAAACUAGAGGAAAAGCUCCAAGAGAACAGAACCGGGAGAGACGCUUUCCCCCCUCUCGAGGAGCACGGGGCGAUGCGUCUGGCCUGGGUUCGAGGUGCAAACCUGUUAUCUCGUUCUGUGCCCCUGAGCCAGUCACUCUGCCCCCCAAGGCCCACUGUCAAGGCAGGACCACCGCGCUCUGACUCCCCCAUGCCCACAACUGUCGUGAUGUCCUCCUGCUGUGCCGUGGGCCCCAGGACCCAGGUAUCAGAAGCACAGAUUUCCACCUCCCUCGCAGUUGCAGGCUGGGGGACAAAGGAGCACCCCUCUGGUGGGAUGGGCACAGUUCCAAAAGGAAAUAAGUAGCUGAAGUUAUUUCACGCACACCACAGCUCAAAGUCUGAUGACACGCGGCCAAUCCCUCUGCAGCGAGGCCUUUGGAAAUCGCAGUGUCCCCGGGAAGAGCCUCAGACACCUGCUGUGUCAUUUCCAAGACCGUCUUCUCCAGUGACGUUGUUCGUUUGGCGCUGGUCACGGUUGCCUCCUGCCCCUGACGGGGGUUGCCGAUGUCAAGGACUUGAGAGAAUAAAUCCCUAAUCUUCUUAAGUACCCAAAGGAGGGAGGAGUCCAGGGCUGGUAUGGUGGCCCCAACAGGUCAUCAGUGCACAGGCCCCUCCUGUUCCUGCCCCAUGCCCCUCGGUGGGUGGCUCCUGGCACUGAGCUCGCAGGACCACGAUGGGAUCUUCAGCCACUGUGUCCUCAUUUCAGCUGCAACUGGACAGGGGAAAGGGGCCUUCCAAGAGGCCUCACCGAGGUUGCCCUCGUAUUUGGUAACACCCAACCUGCACAAGAGGCUUGGAAUGCAGUUGAUUUUAUUUAUUUAUACAUAUAUAUAAAAUCUGCCCCAUUGCGCAAGACUUCUGUUACAAAAGGAGAAAGAACAGACCCUGGGCAGGCAACAAGCAGUAUCAGUUUAAAGCCUUGCUUUUUUCAGCAAAGUCUGUCAUUUAUAAGUGCUCCAGAGAUUUCAGGAUCAAGGCAGAUUUAUGGAAAAAAUCAGAAAGCCAAAGGUGCCAUAAAGAGUCCCACGGGAACAGUCUACUCAACAAGAUGCUUUGUCAGCAGUUGGUCAGCCAGUGUCUCCUCCAGUCCCCUGAGGGCUCAGCGUGGCAGCCCCGCCACUCGGCUGGCACUGUCAGUGGCGCACAGUUGUCAGUGCAGGUGAUCCAUGGAAAGCGAGCACAAGAGCAGACAGUCCUUGUCCGUCAUCUCCAUAUUUCCCUCUGUCCUCCUACAGUGGGACGUUCUUCUGACAGUCACUGAAGUUGCUGACAUGGUUGGCAUUGCAGUUUCUAGAGGGAACCCUCCACCCUUCUAGUGGGGAGGAGCUCCUGGA
Molecule: long non-coding RNA, 1855 nt
Organism: Equus caballus (horse)
Lineage: Eukaryota; Metazoa; Chordata; Mammalia; Perissodactyla; Equidae
Source: Ensembl